Molecule: long non-coding RNA, 799 nt
Filed under: Ornithorhynchus anatinus (platypus)
Lineage: Eukaryota; Metazoa; Chordata; Mammalia; Monotremata; Ornithorhynchidae
Description: lncRNA (ENSOANG00000038707.1)
Source: RNAcentral
AUAACCAGACUGUACACGUUCGGAAUCUGCCGACGCAAACACAGGGAACGCGGGGACCAGCUCAAAAAGAAGCCUACCCAGAAGAGAAAGGGCUGUAGGUGUAAGUGUAGGUGUGGCGCUCGGCAGAAGAGCAAGCAGCAACGUGGACGGAGAAGGGCCCGACGGGGGAGAUCCCAGUACAGGAGACGCAGGAAAAGUCGGAGGAAGCCCAAGAAAAGUCGGAGGAAGCCCAAGAAAAGUCGGAGGAAGCCCAUGAAAAGGAGUCAGUCACGGCCCAGGAGGAGGCACCCAAGGAGAACGAAGGGGAAGUUUAAAUCAAGUCAGCACAGAGGGAGAGGUGCUGAGGAGGAAACGGAAUCUAUGGGGUGAAAUACUUUUUCAGGAAGAGUGUGGUUGAGCCCGAGAAGUGAUCCAGGUGAUCGCGGCAGAUCUCCGAGCCCCAAAGAAGACGCCAUCUGUCAAUAAACUUCAGUCAGUGCAUUCCAAGCUCUGUUUUUCCACAUGUACUCCUUUUUCCAUCGUUUCACAUCCAGUUUCAAAAGGAACUAUCCUAAUGCUAUCACUGCUGCUUUUCUGCCACUUACAAGCCAGUCUCGGUCAUCCAUGAUUUUAAUCAAUCAAUCAGUGGUAUUUACUGAGUGCUUACUGUGUGCAUAGCCCUAUACUGAUAACGCAUAGCCCUAUACUGAUAACAACAACAAUAAUAAUAAUCACUACAGCAUUCGUUAAGCGCUCAUUGUGUGCCAGGCACUGUACUAAGCACUGGGAUGAAAACAAGCAAAUCUGGUCAGACACAGCC